AACACGUACAAUUGCAACCCUAGGAUAUAUUGCUCCAGAGUAUGGACAGGAUGGUAUAGUAUCCACGAGCUGCGAUGUUUAUAGUUUUGGCAUCCUGAUGAUGGAGACGUUUACAAGAAUGAGACCAAGCGAUGAUAUAUUUACCGGAGAAUUGAGCAUAAGAAGUUGGGUUAGCGAUUCUUUUCCAGGUGGAAUUCAUAAGGUGGUGGAUGCUAAUUUGCUACAUCCAGCGGAUGAACAAACCGAUGCAAAGAUGCAGUGUCUGCUAUCUAUCAUGGAAUUAGCUGUGAGUUGCACUGUGAUGAUACCUGAUGCAAGAAUUAGUAUGGAAGAGUCUCUUUCAACACUUACAAAGAUUAGGCUCCAGUUUGUCAGUAGUUGCUGCUAGGUGGAAUCAGCGAUCGACUCUUGAUCAAAGGUGGAGGUAGAGUGUUCGGUCUGGGUUCAACUGAAUCCAGUAAGUUUUGCUUAGAUCUUGUAUUUGUAUUAGGAAAUCCAUCAAAUACUUAAUCGCGAACCCAGUAACUAAGACAAAGUAUGAGUUUGGUGGUCAGUUUAGAACCUACGGAAAAUGCCUAAAAAUGCCACUCAACUUUCAGAAAUGGUCUAUCCAUGCCAUCCGUUAAAAAAAAUGCUAAUUUUAUGCCACUGCCGUUACACAUUUGGCCCAUCCAUGCCAUUGCUGACUAACGACUCAAUUUUUAUUUGGCUCAUCCAUGCCACUGCCGUUAAUCAAUAAUGGCAUGGAUAGGCCAUUUCUGUAAUGGCAGUGGCAUGGAAAUAACAAUUUUUUAACGAAUGGCAUGGAUAUAUCAUUUCUGAAAGUUGAGUGGCAUUUUUAGGCCUUUUCCGUAGAACCUAUAAACUUCAAAUCCUGACUCUGCCUAUGCUCUCGAUUGCUGCUUCAUUAGCUAUAUAUGAUGGUUGUGUUAAGCUUUCAAUUAUGCGCUAGGACUUAAGUUCAUCAUAGCAGUGUAAGUAAUUGUAAGUAAUGAUCUGUUAUGCAAGGCUUUUUAGACUCUGAAACCACGGCUGAAGUUAAGCCAUUAAAAACUUACUUAUGUUUACGUCAAACCAAUAAAUGCAUAAUAUAUGUUAAUCA
Molecule: non-coding RNA, 1102 nt
Organism: Nicotiana tabacum (common tobacco)
Lineage: Eukaryota; Viridiplantae; Streptophyta; Magnoliopsida; Solanales; Solanaceae
Source: RefSeq, a predicted model, not a curated record